Long non-coding RNA from Trichechus manatus latirostris (Florida manatee), 172 nucleotides. RefSeq lists it as uncharacterized. Lineage: Eukaryota; Metazoa; Chordata; Mammalia; Sirenia; Trichechidae. The transcript is spliced from 2 exons. The record is from RefSeq and is a predicted model, not a curated record.
ACUUCCUCGUUUUGUUUACAGAAAGCAAAGAAACCCAAAGCAGCAGAGGCCGUCUCAAAGCCACAUGUCCCUGAAGAAUCCGCAGGACCAUCAAAUGUUAAGACAGGGAAGCCUGAGGAAGCCAGCCUUGAUUCUAGAGAGAAGAAAACCAACCCGGCUCCAAAGAGCACAG